RNAcentral lists this long non-coding RNA (488 nucleotides) under Gossypium raimondii (Peruvian cotton). RNAcentral describes it as "long non-coding RNA (GRAI_LNC005344)". The record is from RNAcentral. Lineage: Eukaryota; Viridiplantae; Streptophyta; Magnoliopsida; Malvales; Malvaceae.
UCUAUAGGUUCCUCAUGUGUAACCGGAACAUUCGAAGAUCCAAUAGCAGUUUGUUGUUCAGUGCUGUUUGUUUCGGUCGAGUUUGGAGUACCUUGAACAAUGCGGUGCGCUCGCACGGGUCUUCUAGGCAUUUUAUCUGCAAUACAAAUAAAUUAGUUGAAAACUUAAUAUACAGUGCUGUUUGUUUCGGUCGAGUUUGGAGUACCUUGAACAAUGCGGUGCGCUCGCACGGGUCUUCUAGGCAUUUUAUCUACAAUACAAAUAAAUUAGUUGAAAACUUAAUAUACAAUUACAACAAUAAUAAUAUGUUUAAAAUAGUUGAAAUAUAUAAUAAGACCAAUAUUAUGAUAUGAUAUUACAAUAAUUAAAUAAUCGUAAAAGCUUACUAUAUUAUAAUCCAUAAAUAUCUUCAUCCGUAUCCUGGCGGACCCAUUGACUGUGUGUACUAGUACUAGGGAUGUUUUCGUUUAAGUUUUGUUCUGGAAAUG